Molecule: long non-coding RNA, 848 nt
Organism: Gallus gallus (chicken)
Lineage: Eukaryota; Metazoa; Chordata; Aves; Galliformes; Phasianidae
Source: Ensembl
CUUGAGUUUAAAGUUGCAAUAGGAACUUUUUGCUAGCUUUUGCUGUUAGGAUUGUUAUUAGGGUACAGAUAAAAUAUUCUUUUCCUAAUGAAUCAUCUUUUCCUAAUGAAUAUUCCAGGUCUGCGGAGCUUUAUGACGUACUCUACCUAAUGUCGAGGGGAUGAAAAAGAACACCAGGUGAUGCGAUGCUGCAAAGCUCAGGUUAAUUUAGGAGGCCAAGCAAGGGACCAGCUCUGCCAGAAAUAGCUUUUCACACAUGCACAGCCUGUCAGCUGCCACCUCUCCUCCCCAAUACCUCAACUGGAUCUGGGAGGGCAGUUGUGGCAGUGAUUAACCUGACAUCUUUUGCCUGGAAUUAGAAAAUAUAUUUCAAAUGGGAAUUCAGAAGAAGGACGACUGCUUUCCCCGUGUCACCCCUGACAGCCCUGACAAUGGGGCUCAGAUGCCCUCAGGCACAAAAAUUGGCAUUAGAUUCUACAUUAUGGAAUAAUCCACGCAUCACAGAAGAGAGUUGGAAAAUCUCCUCAAGUAGUCCUCCUACCAUAUGGGAGAUGCUGCAAGCAAAUCUACAAAGAAGUUGUUUAAUGUUUCUUCUUCUGAGUUUCACAGAUGCUUUUUAAGCCUUCACAGCUGUCAUAUGCCAGCCUCUCUUGUGAUGUGUAGAAGUGGAAUACUACUGGAGAACCCUUCUAUGAUGAGUUUCAAGAUCUCCUUGUGCAGUCUGUUGGAUAUCUCCAAGAUGCUGCCUGCCCAGAGCACUUGCCCUGUACCAGCUGCCUAUCCCAGCAUAAGAGAAAGCCUGUCACUACUUUCUGAGAGGUGUCUGUAUGGGGUGAGUUGUAAAACCG